UACAGAGGUUCCAAGCGUUGUUCGGAUUCACUGGGCGUAAAGGGUGCGUAGGCGGUCGGGUAAGUCUGAUGUGAAAUCUCACAGCUUAACUGUGAAACUGCAUUGGAUACUAUUCGGCUUGAGAGUUGGAGGGGGGACUGGAAUUCUCGGUGUAGCAGUGAAAUGCGUAGAUAUCGAGAGGAACACCGGUGGCGAAGGCGGGUCUCUGGGCCGAUACUGACGCUGAGGAGCGAAAGCGUGGGGAGCGAACAGG
This 253-nucleotide ribosomal RNA is filed under the name uncultured bacterium. RNAcentral describes it as "partial 16S ribosomal RNA". It matches the Rfam family "Bacterial small subunit ribosomal RNA", at positions 524 to 776 of the family's 1533-position model. The record is from RNAcentral.